RNAcentral lists this ribosomal RNA (387 nucleotides) under uncultured bacterium. Its description in RNAcentral is "bacterial SSU rRNA". It matches the Rfam family "Bacterial small subunit ribosomal RNA", at positions 30 to 416 of the family's 1533-position model. The record is from RNAcentral.
AUUGAACGCUGGCGGCAGGCCUAACACAUGCAAGUCGAGCGGCAGCACGGGUACUUGUACCUGGUGGCGAGCGGCGGACGGGUGAGUAAUGCCUAGGAAUCUGCCUGGUAGUGGGGGAUAACGCUCGGAAACGGACGCUAAUACCGCAUACGUCCUACGGGAGAGAGCAGGGGACCUUCGGGCCUUGCGCUAUCAGAUGAGCCUAGGUCGGAUUAGCUAGUUGGUGAGGAAUGGCUCACCAAGGCGACGAUCCGUAACUGGUCUGAGAGGAUGAUCAGUCACACUGGAACUGAGACACGGUCCAGACUCCUACGGGAGGCAGCAGUGGGGAAUAUUGGACAAUGGGCGAAAGCCUGAUCCAGCCAUGCCGCGUGUGUGAAGAAGGUC